UACAGAGGGUGCAAGCGUUAAUCGGAAUUAUUGGGCGUAAAGAGCUCGUAGGCGGUUCGUCGCGUCGGCUGUGAAAUCCCGAGGCUCAACCUCGGGUCUGCAGUCGAUACGGGCGGACUGGAGUUCGGCAGGGGAGACUGGAAUUCCUGGUGUAGCGGUGAAAUGCGCAGAUAUCAGGAGGAACACCGGUGGCGAAGGCGGGUCUCUGGGCCGAUACUGACGCUGAGGAGCGAAAGCGUGGGGAGCGAACAGG
Molecule: ribosomal RNA, 253 nt
Filed under: uncultured bacterium
Lineage: Bacteria
Description: partial 16S ribosomal RNA
Rfam family: Bacterial small subunit ribosomal RNA
Source: RNAcentral